GUGAAGGAUGGAGUGUGUGACUCACAAACAGAAUCAGAAAUGCUGCGCAAGGCUCCACAAAUCCUCUUUACCCGACAGUGCUGGUGCGCGCGCUCACCACCCGCAGAAACGCAGUAAUCGGAUCACACACACACACACACACUCACAGAUCAGCAGCUCUCCACACAUCUCCCGGACUCACCUCGAGGCGUGCGCAGUCAGAGACGCAGGGGGACGCGGAUGAUGAAGCCCAUGGAGGAGAAGAUGGAGGUUCCUCAGGAGUCUGUGAUUCCCGACUGAGGGAUUCUCCGAGACUCUGAUGCUGAUUUCUCGAGUGUUUCUCAACAUGGUCACAGUCAGCGACACCUGCUGGACACGCGCUGCAUUAAUCAGUCACACUCUCUCUGGCUUUGGGCUCUGAGGAUGGAGAGAUCACAGAUGAGGCAAUAAGAGCAGCUGGAGUGAUGAAGGGUCACUAGAUCAUUCUGAUAUUCCAUUCUGUUGCCAAGAUAUGAUACCAGAGCUAAAAAUGUUUAUAAACAUAUUAUUUUGCACAGUUCUUGAAACAUUCAGUGGCAUUUGUACAGUGCUUUCAUUUCUGUUAUUGUGUAAUUUGAUAUUGUUGUGUAAUUAUUUAUUUCUCAAUGAUAAUGGCCAAGCCAAUUAUUAGGCCAAUAAACAAGUAUUGUGUUAUAAUACCAUAUAGUUAAUAUUAUUGUAUGAAAUACCAUAUUUAUACACAGUAUAUAGCUCUAUAUAAAGUUUUGGUCUGACAGUAAGUGUUGUUUCAGAAGAUUCUCUUUGUUUUAUUAGCACAUAUGACAUGCUUAAUCUCCUUGAGUAAUAUAUUCACACUCCAUUAACAGUCAAAAUAAACACACCCUGAAUUUACACACUCUGUUUAAACACACAUAUAAUCACUGCACAUCACACAGAUACACACGCUCACUGACUGUCAGGGCUUCCAUUAUAAUAUACCACUGGGAUGAAAAGUUUGUAAAAUGUCAGUAUGACUAAGUCAUUAUCAUGGUAACAGUAAAUCCAGUCCAGCUGUGGAGGGGUAAAGCUGCAUUACAGAAACUGAUGUCAUCGGGUCACAGCGACUCACAGAUGGACGGUGACAUCACUCACAGGAAGUCCCUCACUCAGGAGAGUAAUGUCACCAAUGCAGCUGCUUA
Long non-coding RNA from Megalobrama amblycephala (Wuchang bream), 1157 nucleotides. RefSeq lists it as uncharacterized. The record is from RefSeq and is a predicted model, not a curated record. Lineage: Eukaryota; Metazoa; Chordata; Actinopteri; Cypriniformes; Xenocyprididae. The transcript has 3 exons.